GACGAACGCUGGCGGCGUGCUUAACACAUGCAAGUCGAACGGAAAGGCCCUGCUUUUGUGGGGUGCUCGAGUGGCGAACGGGUGAGUAACUCGUGAGUAACCUGCCCUUGACUUUGGGAUAACUUCAGGAAACUGGGGCUAAUACCGGAUAGGAGCUCCUGCUGCAUGGUGGGGGUUGGAAAGUUUCGGCGGUUGGGGAUGGACUCGCGGCUUAUCAGCUUGUUGGUGGGGUAGUGGCUUACCAAGGCUUUGACGGGUAGCCGGCCUGAGAGGGUGACCGGCCACAUUGGGACUGAGAUACGGCCCAGACUCCUACGGGAGGCAGCAGUGGGGAAUAUUGCACAAUGGGCGGAAGCCUGAUGCAGCAACGCCGCGUGCGGGAUGACGGCCUUCGGGUUGUAAACCGCUUCCGCCUGUGACGAAGCGUGAGUGACGGUAAUGGGUAAAGAAGCACCGGCUAACUACGUG
This 468-nucleotide ribosomal RNA is filed under the name uncultured bacterium. RNAcentral describes it as "partial 16S ribosomal RNA". It matches the Rfam family "Bacterial small subunit ribosomal RNA", at positions 28 to 507 of the family's 1533-position model. The record is from RNAcentral.